CGUUGAGGUGUUGGGAGUAACGUUAGGCUCCCUUACAUUCACAACCAGAUUGUGAAUUGUUGAAGGUUCAGUUCGCCAUUAUAUCGGUGAGUUGAAACUUACGUUGAGGAAAAUAAGUGGGAUAUGUAUCGUGAAAGUAAUUGAAUUUUGUGUUGUUAUGCUUAGGAUUGUUUCGAGGACGUUAGUGAUUAAGGAGCUUCCCUAACUUUGAGGCAAAGGCAAAGGUAAUAAAGGCGGCAAACCGGCGAGGGGCAGGAAGGAAGCGCGAUACCAUAGGAAACGUGUUUUUGCUUCCGCUUGUGGGUUCUUGUGAGGUUUAAAAUGAAUUGAAAUUUAGUUUACAAACAUUUGUUGUAAAUAGUAUUAUUUUAUGUUUUCUUGAAUGUUUAAAAAUCAGGUCUGACUUGAAGAUGUUUUUUUUUUAAAUUGCUUACGUUUUGUUUUAUAUUAAUCAAAGUCUUUACUUGUUAAAAAUUAACGAUCUCGACUUACUUAGAAAAGUUGGGUCGUUACAGUUUUGGUUUUAGUUUUUUCUCGAUUACUUAUCAGAAUGCUUGAUAUCGUUGCAUGUUUUAUUGUUAAAGUAAAUGUUAGAAACAAGUUUUAUGCAGAUAAAGAAAAAUAUUUUUGCAUACAGGAGUUUACAUGUCCACUUAGGAGGUCCCUUGAAGAGAGUCCUAUUUUCCAAUCUUAUUGAGAAAACAAUUUUGGUACAAGAACCUUAUUGAUAUUCUUACCGAGAUUUCUCAAACUGGAAAACAAAACACAUCCCAUACAGACUCCAAGCUCACUUUUUCUUAUUGCAAGAAUCUCUCGGGGGUAAUGCAAAAUUAACGAUGGUUUGUGUCAUUUCUCCGUCACAAAGGUUAAUAUAACAUUGGGUUCAUCCUACCUCGAAGAUUGUUUUUUCUUCUUGAAAUGAAAAUUUAUUUGGGUUGUUUCUGCACCUACAAGAGUGAAAGAUUUAGCAUCUUUGUGGUUUGCCCAACGUGUCUAAAGCUAUAAAUAACAAAGUUGUUGUUAAUGAAGUUGGGCAAGAUGAUGUGAAUCACUUGCAUGAAGUGAUACAGCAGCUCAGGGUACAAUUUUUCAUGUAAUGUUUGCACUUUUUGAGUUGUGAUCUGUGAAUAUGACUAAACUAAGAAGGUCCUCAUUCAAAUUAUCAUAUAAACAUGUAGGAAAGGUUAAUGUGCCAAUUAACAAAGUUGAUGUUGGCGUGCAAACAUCUUGCAAUGAUGAGGCUGCGGUGAAAACCUUAAUAUAUGUACUAGUUGCAAAAUUAGAAAGCAAUUGGAGGUUAGAGAGCAGGAUGGCAGUUCAAAUCUUCAAUUAAUACAUGUGGAUGGUACACUACAGCCUCUGCUAAGAAAUAAAGGAUACAAGUUCCUAAAUUGAGAAAGUUCUUAUUGGGGCUAUCAGAAGAGAAAUGGCACUUGAAGAGUACUCCAACAAGUAAGCAUUUUGACAACCAAUAGGAGAUGAAGAGAUUUUAACUACAAAAUAUUUAGUUGUUAUUAUACAUUAGGUAUUAAUUGAAUUAAGCUCGUUUUAAUAUCAUCAAUUUUGGCGUGAUAAGUUAUAUUGAUUUUUCAUAAACUUUUAAUUUAUCAAAUUGUGCACCUUAAACUUAAAUAACUAAUGUUGUUCGUAGUGUAAGGUAUGUUUCAUUCUCACAAAUCAAUGGAUUUGUAAGUGCGGGUGGAGUUAUUUAAGAGUCAAUUUUGUGCACUAAUCGGUUUAAUUGAUCUAAAAUUUGAUUUUUGUUGGAA
Molecule: RNA transcript, 1769 nt
Organism: Cucumis sativus (cucumber)
Lineage: Eukaryota; Viridiplantae; Streptophyta; Magnoliopsida; Cucurbitales; Cucurbitaceae
Exons: 4
Source: RefSeq, a predicted model, not a curated record